Molecule: ribosomal RNA, 481 nt
Filed under: uncultured bacterium
Lineage: Bacteria
Description: partial 16S ribosomal RNA
Rfam family: Bacterial small subunit ribosomal RNA
Source: RNAcentral
GAUGAACGCUGGCGGCGUGCCUAACACAUGCAAGUCGAACGGAGAUUACGGACGGAAGUUUUCGGAUGGAAGACUGUAAUUCUUAGUGGCGGACGGGUGAGUAACGCGUGGGCAACCUGCCCUAUACAGGGGGAUAGCAGCUGGAAACGGCUGGUAAGACCGCAUAAGUCGGUUAAAUCGCAUGAUUUGAUCGGGAAAUGAGCAAUCAGGUAUAGGAUGGGCCCGCGUCCGAUUAGCCAGUUGGCAGGGUAAAAGCCUACCAAAGCGACGAUCGGUAGCCGGACUGAGAGGUCGGACGGCCACAUUGGGACUGAGACACGGCCCAAACUCCUACGGGAGGCGGCAGUGGGGGAUAUUGCACAAUGGAGGAAACUCUGAUGCAGCGACGCCGCGUGAGUGAAGAAGUAUUUCGGUAUGUAAAGCUCUAUCAGCAGGGAAGAUGAUGACGGUACCUGACUAAGAAGCCCCGGCUAACUACGUG